Molecule: ribosomal RNA, 440 nt
Filed under: uncultured bacterium
Lineage: Bacteria
Description: partial 16S ribosomal RNA
Rfam family: Bacterial small subunit ribosomal RNA
Source: RNAcentral
CCUACGGGAGGCAGCAGUGGGGAAUAUUGCACAAUGGGGGGAACCCUGAUGCAGCAACGCCGCGUGGGUGAAGAAGUACUUCGGUAUGUAAAGCCCUGUCAGCAGGGAAGAAAAUGACGGUACCUGAACAAGAAGCCACGGCUAACUACGUGCCAGCAGCCGCGGUAAUACGUAGGGGGCAAGCGUUAUCCGGAUUUACUGGGUGUAAAGGGAGCGUAGACGGCUAGGCAAGUGUGGAGUGAAAGCCCGUGGCUCAACCGCGGGAUUGCUUUGGAAACUGUGUUCCUGGAGUGCAGGAGGGGUAGGCGGAAUUCCUAGUGUAGCGGUGAAAUGCGUAGAUAUUAGGAGGAACACCGGUGGCGAAGGCGGCUUACUGGACUGUAACUGACGUUGAGGCUCGAAGGCGUGGGGAGCAAACAGGAUUAGAUACCCGAGUAGUC